UUCCUCCUAGUGUGGGGCAGAACCCCUCUGAAACGAUAGAAGGAAGAAAGGAGAGAGAGACACCUUUCUAAACUUUUAAGAAAACUUCUUUUUCUAUCUAUAAGCCAGGAGAAGCAUGGAAAUGAUAUGAAUUGAUGAAAAAGGAAGAUACUGGAGCUCCUUUAAAGAAUGCUGUCACGCCAUAAGUGGAAGUACUGUGGUAGAAGAGAGACUAUAAAAUAUUGAUGGACUAUUGACCUGAGGUAGCAAAGGAAGAUAAAAGCAAAUUCUCUGAGUGCACAAAGAAGCUACCCGUCUCCAUAGUGUGGAAAAGAACUUCAAUAUUAACAUCAAUAAUGAGUUAUCGUUGUCUGAAAUACAUUUUUCUUGUUACCAUAUCAGAAUUGUAUUCAUUUCAGUUUCAGAGAAAAAAAACAUAUUUUUUUAAAUUUCAUAAUUAUGUUUUCUGUUGCAUAAGAACAGUUCACGUGGAGAGGUGCUUCGAAAUAUACAUCUUAUUAUCAUUAAAUCCUAGCCAUUGUGGCUAUCUUCAUAAGACAGUCCAACAGUUGAGCUGUUUGGGAGUUUAUUUGCUUGGUGUCUUGAUUUUAAGUUAUUAAAAAGUUGUACCUGCCCAAAUGUUGUUCAUGCCUGAAAAUAAUGUUCAUUGAACUUAAAUUUUCCCAUUCUAGGAUCCUGCACUUGGCAGCUUUGUGUUGCUAGAAAAACUCAUAUUGCCAAGAAAAUUGGAGGCAUUACAUAUUUAUGGUUUCCAACUUAAAGUAGAAUCCUAGAGUGCUCAGCAUUCCUUUUCAUGGCAUUGUAC
RNAcentral lists this long non-coding RNA (805 nucleotides) under Homo sapiens (human). RNAcentral's name for it is "PREDICTED lncRNA (TCONS_00197053)". Lineage: Eukaryota; Metazoa; Chordata; Mammalia; Primates; Hominidae. The record is from RNAcentral.